RNAcentral lists this ribosomal RNA (534 nucleotides) under Crocidura theresae (Therese's shrew). RNAcentral's name for it is "partial large subunit ribosomal RNA". It matches the Rfam family "Bacterial large subunit ribosomal RNA", at positions 1816 to 2586 of the family's 2925-position model. Lineage: Eukaryota; Metazoa; Chordata; Mammalia; Eulipotyphla; Soricidae. The record is from RNAcentral.
CACCUCUAGCAUUACCAGUAUUAGAGGCACUGCCUGCCCAGUGACAUUAGUUAAACGGCCGCGGUAUCCUGACCGUGCAAAGGUAGCAUAAUCAUUUGUUCCUUAAUUAGGGACUUGUAUGAAUGGCCCCACGAGGGUUUAACUGUCUCUUACUUUUAAUCAGUGAAAUUGACCUUCCCGUGAAGAGGCGGGAAUAUGACAAUAAGACGAGAAGACCCUAUGGAGCUUAAAUUAAUAUGCUCAACAAAAUUUAAAUUUAACCCAACAGGAACAAUCACAAUUUAACUGAGCAACAAAUUUUGGUUGGGGUGACCUCGGAGUAUAACAAAACCUCCGAGUGAUUUUAACUAAGACACACUCGUCAAAGUUACAUAACUUAUUGAUCCAAUCAUAUUGAUCAACGAAACAAGUUACCCUAGGGAUAACAGCGCAAUCCUAUUCGAGAGUUCAUAUCGACAAUAGGGUUUACGACCUCGAUGUUGGAUCAGGACACCCAAAUGGUGCAGCAGCUAUUAAAGGUUCGUUUGUUCAACG